AAUGCUUCAUGCAAGUGUAUAAAGAUUCGAUGUGAUUGGGAAUCUUGAAAAUUUUUGGAAACUAAACAAGGCCGAACCCUCAAAUCAACGUCAGGAACAUCACCACCAUCCGCUAAUUUAAUUUAAUUGUACACAUCAUCCACAUUAGCAGCUUAACAAUACUUAAUCAACACAGGCAUCACUCAAGCUCACCUAGCUCAUCAGUUUUACAACAGAUCCAGCAGCACAUAACAUAGAACACACGGGUGACCUCAACUGAACAGCAACACAGAACACAGGCAGCGCCAUCAAAUCCUCCUAAUUACUCCAUUAAUUAAUCCAGAGACGAACAACAGCGACGACGACGACGAC
RNAcentral lists this long non-coding RNA (351 nucleotides) under Sorghum bicolor (sorghum). Its description in RNAcentral is "long non-coding RNA (SBIC_LNC013150)". Lineage: Eukaryota; Viridiplantae; Streptophyta; Magnoliopsida; Poales; Poaceae. The record is from RNAcentral.